RNAcentral lists this ribosomal RNA (465 nucleotides) under Vreelandella stevensii. RNAcentral's name for it is "partial 16S ribosomal RNA". It matches the Rfam family "Bacterial small subunit ribosomal RNA", at positions 338 to 795 of the family's 1533-position model. The record is from RNAcentral. Lineage: Bacteria; Pseudomonadati; Pseudomonadota; Gammaproteobacteria; Oceanospirillales; Halomonadaceae.
CCUACGGGAGGCAGCAGUGGGGAAUAUUGGACAAUGGGGGCAACCCUGAUCCAGCCAUGCCGCGUGUGUGAAGAAGGCCCUCGGGUUGUAAAGCACUUUCAGUGAGGAAGAACGCCUGGUGGUUAAUACCCAUCAGGAAAGACAUCACUCACAGAAGAAGCACCGGCUAACUCCGUGCCAGCAGCCGCGGUAAUACGGAGGGUGCGAGCGUUAAUCGGAAUUACUGGGCGUAAAGCGUGCGUAGGUGGCUUGAUAAGCCGGUUGUGAAAGCCCCGGGCUCAACCUGGGAACGGCAUCCGGAACUGUCAAGCUAGAGUGCAGGAGAGGAAGGUAGAAUUCCCGGUGUAGCGGUGAAAUGCGUAGAGAUCGGGAGGAAUACCAGUGGCGAAGGCGGCCUUCUGGACUGACACUGACACUGAGGUGCGAAAGCGUGGGUAGCAAACAGGAUUAGAUACCCUGGUAGUC